RNAcentral lists this ribosomal RNA (492 nucleotides) under uncultured bacterium. RNAcentral's name for it is "partial 16S ribosomal RNA". It matches the Rfam family "Bacterial small subunit ribosomal RNA", at positions 29 to 507 of the family's 1533-position model. The record is from RNAcentral.
AGUGAACGCUGGCGGUAGGCCUAACACAUGCAAGUCGAACGGCAGCACAGUAAGAGCUUGCUCUUACGGGUGGCGAGUGGCGGACGGGUGAGGAAUACAUCGGAAUCUACUUUUUCGUGGGGGAUAACGUAGGGAAACUUACGCUAAUACCGCAUACGACCUACGGGUGAAAGCAGGGGAUCUUCGGACCUUGCGCGAUUGAAUGAGCCGAUGUCGGAUUAGCUAGUUGGCGGGGUAAAGGCCCACCAAGGCGACGAUCCGUAGCUGGUCUGAGAGGAUGAUCAGCCACACUGGAACUGAGACACGGUCAAGACUCCUACGGGAGGCAGCAGUGGGGAAUAUUGGACAAUGGGCGCAAGCCUGAUACAGCCAUACCGCGUGGGUGAAGAAGGCCUUCGGGUUGGAAAGCCCUUUUGUUGGGAAAGAAAAGCAGCAGGUUAAUACCCCGCUGUUCUGACGGUACCCAAAGAAUAAGCACCGGCUAACUUCGUG